Molecule: ribosomal RNA, 274 nt
Filed under: uncultured bacterium
Lineage: Bacteria
Description: partial 16S ribosomal RNA
Rfam family: Bacterial small subunit ribosomal RNA
Source: RNAcentral
AUACGAAGGGUGCAAGCGUUAAUCGGAAUUACUGGGCGUAAAGCGCGCGUAGGUGGUUCGUUAAGUUGGAUGUGAAAGCCCCGGGCUCAACCUGGGAACUGCAUCCAAAACUGGCGAGCUAGAGUAUGGCAGAGGGUGGUGGAAUUUCCUGUGUAGCGGUGAAAUGCGUAGAUAUAGGAAGGAACACCAGUGGCGAAGGCGACCACCUGGGCUAAUACUGACACUGAGGUGCGAAAGCGUGGGGAGCAAACAGGAUUAGAUACCCUAGUAGUCC